RNAcentral lists this transfer RNA (63 nucleotides) under Onchidium reevesii. RNAcentral describes it as "tRNA-Pro". Lineage: Eukaryota; Metazoa; Mollusca; Gastropoda; Systellommatophora; Onchidiidae. The record is from RNAcentral.
UUAAAAACGGUUUUUGAAAACAUUAACUUUGGAAGUUAAAGGAUGGGGGAACCCAUUUUUAAA